UACGAAGGGGGCUAGCGUUGUUCGGAUUUACUGGGCGUAAAGCGCACGUAGGCGGAUCGUUAAGUCGGGGGUGGAAUCCUGGAGCUCAACUCCAGAACUGCCUUCGAUACUGGCGAUCUUGAGUCCGGAAGAGGUGAGUGGAACUGCGAGUGUAGAGGUGAAAUUCGUAGAUAUUCGCAAGAACACCAGUGGCGAAGGCGGCUCACUGGCCCGGUACUGACGCUGAGGUGCGAAAGCGUGGGGAGCAAACAGG
Molecule: ribosomal RNA, 253 nt
Filed under: uncultured bacterium
Lineage: Bacteria
Description: partial 16S ribosomal RNA
Rfam family: Bacterial small subunit ribosomal RNA
Source: RNAcentral